This 1082-nucleotide long non-coding RNA is filed under the name Homo sapiens (human). RNAcentral's name for it is "HSALNT0207149". The record is from RNAcentral. Lineage: Eukaryota; Metazoa; Chordata; Mammalia; Primates; Hominidae.
CGUUUGGCCUCGGAUGGAAGGAGAGCGAAGGGACGGAGAAUUGACUUCCUGAGUCAUGGACUGGACGCCGAAUGUAGUACCUGUAUCGAUCAGAUUUCCCCAGGGAAAUAAAACCAAGUCUAUAUCCACAUAUAUCUCAAGGGAGACAGAGAGAGGGGAGGGGAGUGUGAAGAACCCGUCCUGCACAGUUUUGGGGCCUAGUGGAAUACGUUCACGGCAGCACCGCGUAACCGAGCAUGGUGGCCUGGCCAGGGGACUCCCAAGCCUGACUGUCUCAGUCUACUCUUGGACCUGCCACCCUCCACAUUGCCUGAGUCUUAUACUCGUCUCCAGAUCAAGACAGCAGCAAAGUCACACUGCUGCCCGAAACACAAGUAUGCUGCACGCAACUGAAAACAUGCUCCCUUUCCCCAGAAGAUGAAUGUCUGGGUGAUGUCCAGGCUUAUCCUGGAUGUCCUGCAGCAGAAAUGAGGGAGGCCUGUACAUGAGAGUCGCCCCAGCCGGUACAGUCACCCCCAUCUUCGCAUGCUGGUUCUGUGGCACAGGGAGUCCAAGGCAGGCCUCACUUUCAGUUCAAUGGAAUCACUGCUGUGUCUCCUGGUGGAAGCAUUUCUCCCUUGGGAACUGACACCUGUUGGCCAGCAGGGGUGUUGGGGACAGGAAACAAAAAUGUUGCCAGUGGGUCACUAGGGGUAACACUGAGUGGUGCCACUCUCAUUUCCACCCUGUUGAUUCCUGGGCCCGUGAAUCCCGGCCAGGAGAGACAGCACUACAUAAAAUCUGAUGCAGAUUUAAAGCACCUUGGGAAGAACCUUGCCCCAGCCCUGCAAGGGGCUGCCACCUGGCUGGCAUGGUAACUGAGUCUUCAAAAGGCCAUUCCUCUGUUCCAUGAAGCCAGCCACUCCAGGACGGUGGGAACAUGGUAAGACUGGGGAAUCCGUGAGCGUGGGCCCAUUGCAGCCCUUCUUUCCUACAAGGUGAGUUCCUUGGUCAAAAGCAAUGCUGUGUAGAAUACCAUGACAGUGGGAAAGGCAUUCUGUAAGUCCUCGGAUAGCCGUUUUGGCAGAAGCAUUGCAUGCAGG